GUACUGCUGAGGAGUCCCAUACUAGGACGAAACGGCCGUCCAGUGG
RNAcentral lists this non-coding RNA (46 nucleotides) under Schistosoma curassoni. Lineage: Eukaryota; Metazoa; Platyhelminthes; Trematoda; Strigeidida; Schistosomatidae. The record is from RNAcentral.